This 482-nucleotide ribosomal RNA is filed under the name uncultured bacterium. RNAcentral describes it as "partial 16S ribosomal RNA". It matches the Rfam family "Bacterial small subunit ribosomal RNA", at positions 30 to 507 of the family's 1533-position model. The record is from RNAcentral.
AUUGAACGCUGGCGGCAUGCCUUACACACGCAAGUCGAACGGUAACGGGCCUUCGGGUGCCGACGAGUGGCGAACGGGUGAGUAAUACAUCGGAACGUGCCCGAUCGUGGGGGAUAACGAGGCGAAAGCUUUGCUAAUACCGCAUACGAUCUACGGAUGAAAGCAGGGGACCGCAAGGCCUUGCGCGGACGGAGCGGCCGAUGGCAGAUUAGGUAGUUGGUGGGAUAAAAGCUUACCAAGCCGACGAUCUGUAGCUGGUCUGAGGGGAUGAUCAGCCACACUGGGACUGAGACACGGCCCAGACUCCUACGGGAGGCAGCAGUGGGGAAUUUUGGACAAUGGGCGCAAGCCUGAUCCAGCCAUGCCGCGUGCAGGAUGAAGGCCUUCGGGUUGUAAACUGCUUUUGUACGGAACGAAAAGCCUUCUUUUAAUACAGGAGGGUCAUGACGGUACCGUAAGAAUAAGCACCGGCUAACUACGUG